RNAcentral lists this ribosomal RNA (253 nucleotides) under uncultured bacterium. RNAcentral describes it as "partial 16S ribosomal RNA". It matches the Rfam family "Bacterial small subunit ribosomal RNA", at positions 524 to 776 of the family's 1533-position model. The record is from RNAcentral.
UACAGAGGGUGCAAGCGUUGUUCGGAAUCAUUGGGCGUAAAGCGCACGUAGGCGGCUUUGCAAGUCGGGUGUGAAAGCCUGGGGCUCAACCCCAGAAGUGCAUUCGAAACUGCAGAGCUUGAGUCUUGGAGAGGGUGGUGGAAUUCCGAGUGUAGAGGUGAAAUUCGUAGAUAUUCGGAAGAACACCAGUGGCGAAGGCGGCUCACUGGCCUGGUAUUGACGCUGAGGUGCGAAAGCGUGGGGAGCAAACAGG